Molecule: ribosomal RNA, 374 nt
Filed under: uncultured organism
Description: partial 16S ribosomal RNA
Rfam family: Bacterial small subunit ribosomal RNA
Source: RNAcentral
GUAGGUGGCAAGCGUUGUCCGGAAUUAUUGGGCGUAAAGCGCGCGCAGGCGGUCCUUUAAGUCUGAUGUGAAAGCCCACGGCUCAACCGUGGAGGGUCAUUGGAAACUGGGGGACUUGAGUACAGAAGAGGAAAGCGGAUUUCCAAGUGUAGCGGUGAAAUGCGUAGAGAUUUGGAGGAACACCAGUGGCGAAGGCGGCUUUCUGGUCUGUAACUGACGCUGAGGCGCGAAAGCGUGGGGAGCAAACAGGAUUAGAUACCCUGGUAGUCCACGCCGUAAACGAUGAGUGCUAAGUGUUAGGGGGUUUCCCGCCCCCCUUAGUGCUGCAGCUAACGCAUUAAGCACUCCGCCUGGGGAGUACGGCCGCAAGGCUG